CGCAAGGCUAAAACUCAAAGGAAUUGACGGGGGCCCGCACAAGCGGCGGAGCAUGCGGAUUAAUUCGAUGCAACGCGAAGAACCUUACCAAGGCUUGACAUAUACCGGAAACAUCUAGAGAUAGGUGCCCCGCAAGGUCGGUAUACAGGUGGUGCAUGGUUGUCGUCAGCUCGUGUCGUGAGAUGUUGGGUUAAGUCCCGCAACGAGCGCAACCCUCGUUNUAUGUUGCCAGCACGUAAUGGUGGGGACUCAUAGGAGACUGCCGGGGUCAACUCGGAGGAAGGUGGGGAUGACGUCAAAUCAUCAUGCCCCUUAUGUCUUGGGCUUCACGCAUGCUACAAUGGCCGGUACAAAGGG
RNAcentral lists this ribosomal RNA (357 nucleotides) under Nostocoides sp. MU2A-17. RNAcentral's name for it is "bacterial SSU rRNA". It matches the Rfam family "Bacterial small subunit ribosomal RNA", at positions 887 to 1246 of the family's 1533-position model. Lineage: Bacteria; Bacillati; Actinomycetota; Actinomycetes; Micrococcales; Intrasporangiaceae. The record is from RNAcentral.